AUGGCACUGAAAGCUAAGAAGGAGCCUCCCAAAGCUGAAGCCAAAACAAAGGCCUUGAAAGCUAAGAAGGCCGUGCUGAAAGGCGUCCGUAGCCACAAAAAGAAGAUCCAGGCACCACACACCUUCCUGCAUCUCUGGAGGCAGCCCUAAUAUGCUUGGAAGAGCAUGUCCAGGAGAAACAAGCUAGACCACUAUGCCAUCAUCAAAUUGCCCCUGACCACUGAGUCAGCCAUGGAGAGGACAGAAAACAACAACACAUUUGUGUUCACUGUGUAAGUCAAGGCCAACAAGCAGCAGAUCAAACAGGCUGUGAAGAAACUCUAUGACAUUGAUGUGGCCAAAGCCCAUACCCUGAUAGGGCCUGAAGGAGAGAAGGCCUAUGUUAGGUUGGUUCCUGAUUAUGAUGCUCUGGGUGUUGCCAACAAAAUUGGGAUCAUCUAA
RNAcentral lists this long non-coding RNA (441 nucleotides) under Mus musculus (house mouse). RNAcentral's name for it is "long non-coding RNA chrX:11867264-11867705". Lineage: Eukaryota; Metazoa; Chordata; Mammalia; Rodentia; Muridae. The record is from RNAcentral.